Baffinella frigidus is the source of this 73-nucleotide non-coding RNA. The record is from the annotation of a GenBank genome assembly. NCBI's taxonomy places the organism in Eukaryota, Cryptophyceae, Cryptomonadales, Baffinellaceae.
GCCCUUGUAGCUCAGUUGGAAGAGCGUUCCAGUUGUAAUGGAAAUGUCGAGUGUUCGAGCCACUCCGGGGGCA